AAAUGUGUGGGUGAUCUGGCUGCGACAUCUGUCACCCCACUGAUCGCCAGGGUUAUUCAGCUGAUCUGGCUGACUAGGCGGGUGUCCCCUUCCUCCCUUGCGCCACCCUUGCAUGUUCCUCCCGAAGUUCCACACUCAGUCUAAGAAGACAACCAUCCCCGAUACAGGAGGACCGUUCUUCAGUCAAGGGGACAUGAGUAGCUGCACUCUUCUUCUGGAACCUUCCAACAAGCUCUCAAGGUCCAAAUACAGCAGCCAGGGAAGAGGCAGGUGGAGAAAGCUGGGCGUCUCCUGGUGGGUCUCUUAUGGCUGUGUUA
RNAcentral lists this small nuclear RNA (317 nucleotides) under Aotus nancymaae (Ma's night monkey). Its description in RNAcentral is "7SK RNA (ENSANAG00000008278.1)". It matches the Rfam family "7SK RNA". From Rfam's summary of the family: 7SK was discovered as an abundant small nuclear RNA in the mid-70s but a possible function has only recently been suggested. Two independent studies have found that 7SK RNA binds the CDK9/cyclin T complex (known as elongation factor P-TEFb). The record is from RNAcentral. Lineage: Eukaryota; Metazoa; Chordata; Mammalia; Primates; Aotidae.